CUGUGCACCAUGGGAAAGGGUGUGGUGCAGUGGGAAGCUAUCAGAGAAGGGUUUUGGGUGGGAGUUAGGUCAGGUUGGCAACAUGUUUCGGUUUCUCGUAAUGAAAGAAUGCCUUUGGUGUGGGUAUGGAAAGUAGACUGGCGGGAGGGUGUUGGAGCAGAAGGAGGGAGAUCUCUUAAGAGGAUAUGGUAGGGAUUCAGGCAAGAGACAAUGGCAGCCUGGACUAGAUGGGGACACAUUUGAGAUGUAUUUCAGGAGGCAGAAUCAUUAGAACAAGCUGAUGGACUGAUAUGGACUUUAAGGCGAGAGAGAGGGUAGAAACAAGGAUGUGUCCCUGGUCUAAAGCUCAGUUUCCUUAAGACACUGAAGACAAGAGGCCUGAACCAGACUCCCUGAGUUCAAAUCGAGACCAUCCCUCUUCCUAGCCCAGUGGCUAGUGACUCAAGUGACUCAACCCCCAAGGGCCUCCGUUUCCCCAUCGAUAAGAUAGAGUUCUUCCUUCACAGGGUUGUUGUGAGGUUUCAAUGAGUUAUUUUGGAUAAUGUGCUUGAUAGAAUACAUGAAUACAGCGAGCACUACGUGAAAAAAAGAAUUAUUGUCAUUAUUAUUAGUCUAUUGAUAGUUUUUCUGUCUGCCAUCAAGAGAUUGAGUCUCGCAAGGCAAACAAGUCUUGUUUGGAAAGAAAAUGUUCUGGAGCGAGUACCGCAGGCGUCCCUCUUUCCCUGUGUUUGUGUUCCCUUCCCCUGCGUGAGUUUGGCAGGAGAAGCUGUUCAAAAUAAACACAGGUCCGGUGCCCCAGAAAAUAUCAGGUUAGGCAGCACAGCAAAGGCCAGACACACACCCCUGUUGGACAGGACAGGAGCAAACAGGCUUGCUUUAUGCUGACCUCGCCAGCUCGCUGCGUCCCAGGGGCUGUCCAGCAGGGUGGGCCACUUUGGCAGGUGGGGCCAUCAUCUGCAACUCAUCACCUGUGUUGUCUGGUCCCUCUGCUGGUGUGGCAUGGAGUGAGUCACCACUGUCAUUCACCACUUCCUCGCCUGGACAUUGUGAUUCACAGGCUCUUGAACCUGAUAUCCAGGCAGCAAUAAGAGGCCUUUCACUGAGCCCUGCUUCCAGGCUGAGUUGGGGAAGGGGACACUGAGCCACCUUGCCCGGGUGCCCAAGCUGUGGCUGCCCAGAAUUCAGGCUCUUUCCUGUCAACUCAUCUGCUCGCAGAAUCAGAGGCCUAUGGGAGACAGUUAGGAAAACUGGGGUUUUCCUCUACUCUCCGUCCUCUUGCGGGGCCAGCACAAUGAAGGACGAGCAGAUGGACAAGUGGGCGAAUGGAGAGAUGGACAAGUGACCACCGCACACGGCAAUCAGAGAGGCAGACAGCUCCAGCCGAUGCAGGAGAACAGCAGCCCAGAGAGGUGCAGCCGGCAGCUAAAGAUGUAUUGAACUGCCCCUUGGUGUCCGAGCUGUACCGGGCCAUUCCGUACGAAAGGCCAUUGAACAGCACAAGACAUCUGCAAGGUGGGCUCCAGAGCGCUGCCCGUGUCCCACAGGCUCCAGACAUGUCAGAGCCUACGUGCACGGCCAUCUCCUUGGUUCUCCUCAGCUCCAUUUCACCUGGCUUGCCUAUUCCCAAGCCCUCAGUGACCUUUCUCAUCUCUUUCUCUCUUCCUUCACUUAUUCAUUUGAAACAGCUCUACCACUUGCUGGCUGUAUAGCCUUGGACAAAUUACUUAUCCUCUCUGGGCCUCAAUGUUAACAUCCGUCAAAUGUGGCUAACAAUGGCACCUCUUUCAUAGAGUCUUGAGUUGAUAGAAUGAAUUAGUAUAUGUGAAGCACAGUGCAUGAGGCACACUAUGUUCUAUAUAAGUGCUACCUGCAUAGAACCUACUAAAUGCUGGGCAGCUCACAGCAUUCCUCCUCUUCCUUCACUGGUGAUAUCCUGCCUCUGAUGUAGUUCAGUACUUGUGAGCAGGGGCUUUGAGCCAGAAGCACCUGGCUGAGGGGUUUGAGCUUGGUUAGAGGGUCCUGCCCUACCCUCUUCCCGUUUCUCUUAGGAAAUUCCAGAUCAUUUAACACCCCUCUUUUUUUUUUUUUUUUUCUAUUUCACUGGGCAUUAUACCCUCUGCGUCCAUCCAUGUUGUUUCAA
This is a long non-coding RNA of Neofelis nebulosa (Clouded leopard), 2140 nucleotides long. RefSeq lists it as uncharacterized. The transcript is spliced from 3 exons. The record is from RefSeq and is a predicted model, not a curated record. Lineage: Eukaryota; Metazoa; Chordata; Mammalia; Carnivora; Felidae.